AGGAGUCCCUUUUGACGCCGCGGUUCUACACGACGGAUUUCGAUGAAAUGGAGCAGCUCUUCAACACCGAGAUCAACAAGAACUUGAACAUGGCGGAGUUCGAGGCUCUGCUGCAGGAGUUCAAGACCGACUUCAACCAGACACAUUUCGUGAGGAAUAAGGAAUUCAAGGAGGCUGCUGACAAGCUGCAGGGGCCGUUGAGACAAAUUUUUGUCGAAUUCUUGGAGAGGUCUUGCACUGCUGAGUUCUCUGGUUUCCUUCUCUACAAGGAGCUCGGACGCAGGCUUAAGGUAUCUGUGUGUGUUUCAUGAAUUCUUGAUUGGUUUUUCUGUAUGAAUUGAUUCAAGUGUUUCUUGUGUUUUAUGGUUCUAGUGAUUUGGCUCAAUGUUGGAGCUAUUUAGUUUUAUGAUUGAGUUAAAGUCUUGUUUUUUAGUAGUGCUACUUGCUUAUGAUUAAUUUUCUCUGAUUGUGUUAGUGCAUUGAUCGCAGCGUGUUUCCCUAGUUGGUAGUGCUUGAUGUAGUUAUUGCAAACUGCUUACUACUUCAAUUUUGAUCUUUGAGGUCUACUUAUUUAGGUUUUGAUAAAUGUGAGAAGUUUACAACCUACAACUGCAUGUUUGUAUUUCUUGAAUUAUUGAUUGGUUUUGUUGUAUGAAUUGAUUCAAGUGUUUCUUUUGUUUUAUGAUUCUAAUGAUUUUUGCUCAAUGUUGGAGCUAGUUAGUGUUAUGAUUGAGUUAAAGUCCUUUUAUUUAUUUAUGCCAACCUUAAAUUUAAAGUCUUGCUUUUUAUUAGUGCUAAUUGUUUAUAAUUAGAUUUGUUUUAUCAUUUUAGUGCAUUGAUUGCAGUGUGUUCCCUAGUUGGUAGUGCUUGAUGUGGUAAUUGUAAACUGGUUUACCACAAUUUCGAGGUCUACUUAUUUAGGUUUUGAUAAACAUGAGAAAUUUACAACUGCAUGUAACAGAAAUCUUGUACUUAAUCACACCUUGUUAAGACAGCAUUGCUUGCUAAUUUUAGACAAUGGCCUAUCUUGAAAUAGCUGUUUCUUUCAAAUCAACUCAUUGUUGGCUGCUUUUGCAGAAAACUAACCCUAUGGUUGCCGAGAUUUUCUCUCUGAUGUCCAGAGACGAAGCGCGCCACGCAGGGUAAGUAAGACUCCCUUUUGACUUCCCAAGAGGCUGCCAUGGAUGCUGAUAAUUAAGGUUUUAUGCAGGUUCUUGAACAAAGGUUUGUCAGACUUCAAUUUGGCUCUGGACUUGGGGUUCCUCACAAAGGCCAGAAAAUACACUUUCUUCAAGCCUAAGUUCAUCUUCUAUGCAACAUACUUGUCUGAGAAGAUUGGAUACUGGAGAUACAUCACCAUAUACCGCCACCUCAAGGAGAACCCCG
This 1386-nucleotide long non-coding RNA is filed under the name Salvia miltiorrhiza (redroot sage). Its description in RNAcentral is "long non-coding RNA (SMIL_LNC006521)". The record is from RNAcentral. Lineage: Eukaryota; Viridiplantae; Streptophyta; Magnoliopsida; Lamiales; Lamiaceae.